GACGAACGCUGGCGGCGUGCCUAAUACAUGCAAGUUGAGCGCUGAAGGUUGGUACUUGUCCCAACUGGCUGAGCAGCGAACGGGUGAGUAACGCGUGGGGAAUCUGCCUUUGAGCGGGGGACAAAAUUUGGAAACGAAUGCUAAUACCGCAUAAAAACUUUAAACACAAGUUUUAAGUUUGAAAGAUGAAAUUGCAUCACUCAAAGAUGAUCCCGCGUUGUAUUAGCUAGUUGGUGAGGUAAAGGCUCACCAAGGCGAUGAUACAUAGCCGCCCUGAGAGGGUGAUCGGCCACAUUGGGACUGAGACACGGCCCAAACUCCUACGGGAGGCAGCAGUAGGGAAUCUUCGGCAAUGGACGAAAGUCUGACCGAGCAACGCCGCGUGAGUGAAGAAGGUUUUCGGAUCGUAAAACUCUGUUGGUAGAGAAGAACGUUGGUGAGAGUGGAAAGCUCAUCAAGUGACGGUAACUACCCAGAAAGGGACGGCUAACUACGUG
Molecule: ribosomal RNA, 497 nt
Filed under: uncultured bacterium
Lineage: Bacteria
Description: partial 16S ribosomal RNA
Rfam family: Bacterial small subunit ribosomal RNA
Source: RNAcentral